UACGUAGGGGGCUAGCGUUGUCCGGAAUCAUUGGGCGUAAAGCGCGUGUAGGCGGUCCGGUAAGUCCGCUGUGAAAGCCAGGGGCUCAACCCUUGGAUGCCGGUGGAUACUGUCGGGCUUGAGUACGGAAGAGGCGAGUGGAAUUCCGGGUGUAGCGGUGGAAUGCGUAGAGAUUCGGAAGAACACCGGUGGCGAAGGCGGUGUGCUGGGCCGUAGCUGACGCUGAGGCGCGACAGCGUGGGGAGCAAACAGG
RNAcentral lists this ribosomal RNA (253 nucleotides) under uncultured bacterium. RNAcentral describes it as "partial 16S ribosomal RNA". It matches the Rfam family "Bacterial small subunit ribosomal RNA", at positions 524 to 776 of the family's 1533-position model. The record is from RNAcentral.